AACGAACGCUGGCGGCAUGCCUAACACAUGCAAGUCGAACGAGACCUUCGGGUCUAGUGGCGCACGGGUGCGUAACGCGUGGGAACCUGCCCUUAGGUUCGGAAUAACUCCCCGAAAGGGGUGCUAAUACCGGAUAAUGUCUUCGGACCAAAGAUUUAUCGCCUUUGGAUGGGCCCGCGUUGGAUUAGCUAGUUGGUAGGGUAAAAGCCUACCAAGGCGACGAUCCAUAGCUGGUCUGGGAGGAUGAUCAGCCACACUGGGACUGAGACACGGCCCAGACUCCUACGGGAGGGGGCAGUAGGGAAUAUUGGACGAUGAGAGAAAGCCUGAACCAGCAAUGCCGCGUGAGUGAUGAAGGUCUUGGUGUGGUGUAGCUCGUAUUCCCGAGAUGAUAAUGACAGUGCCGGGUGAAUAAGCUCCGGCUAACUCCGUG
Molecule: ribosomal RNA, 433 nt
Filed under: uncultured bacterium
Lineage: Bacteria
Description: partial 16S ribosomal RNA
Rfam family: Bacterial small subunit ribosomal RNA
Source: RNAcentral